RNAcentral lists this unclassified non-coding RNA (337 nucleotides) under soil metagenome. RNAcentral's name for it is "partial contains 5.8S ribosomal RNA, internal transcribed spacer 2, and large subunit ribosomal RNA". The stretch from base 1 to 120 matches the Rfam family "5.8S ribosomal RNA", at positions 35 to 154 of the family's 154-position model. The record is from RNAcentral.
GAUGAAGAACGCAGCGAAAUGCGAUAAGUAAUGUGAAUUGCAGAAUUCAGUGAAUCAUCGAAUCUUUGAACGCACAUUGCGCCCGCCAGUAUUCUGGCGGGCAUGCCUGUUCGAGCGUCAUUUCAGCCAUCAAGCCCCCGGGCUUGUGUUGGGGACCUGCGGCUGCCGCAGGCCCUGAAAAGCAGUGGCGGGCUCGCUGUCACACCGAGCGUAGUAGAUUUUAUCUCGCUCAGGGCGUGCUGCGGGUUCCGGCCGUUAAACCACCUUCAUAACCCAAGGUUGACCUCGGAUCAGGUAGGAAGACCCGCUGAACUUAAGCAUAUCAAUAAGCGGAGGA